RNAcentral lists this ribosomal RNA (584 nucleotides) under uncultured fungus. RNAcentral's name for it is "eukaryotic LSU rRNA". It matches the Rfam family "Eukaryotic large subunit ribosomal RNA", at positions 40 to 647 of the family's 3401-position model. The record is from RNAcentral. Lineage: Eukaryota; Fungi.
AUAUCAAUAAGCGGAGGAAAAGAAACCAACAGGGAUUGCCCUAGUAACGGCGAGUGAAGCGGCAACAGCUCAAAUUUGAAAUCUGGCUCUCGGGCCCGAGUUGUAAUUUGUAGAGGAUACUUUUGAUGCGGUGCCUUCCGAGUUCCCUGGAACGGGACGCCAUAGAGGGUGAGAGCCCCGUCUGGUUGGAUGCCAAAUCUCUGUAAAGUUCCUUCAACGAGUCGAGUAGUUUGGGAAUGCUGCUCUAAAUGGGAGGUAUAUGUCUUCUAAAGCUAAAUACCGGCCAGAGACCGAUAGCGCACAAGUAGAGUGAUCGAAAGAUGAAAAGCACUUUGAAAAGAGAGUUAAAAAGUACGUGAAAUUGUUGAAAGGGAAGCGUUUAUGACCAGACUUGGGCUUGGUUAAUCAUCUGGGGUUCUCCCCAGUGCACUUUUCCAGUCCAGGCCAGCAUCAGUUUUCCCCGGGGGAUAAAGACGGCGGGAAUGUGGCUCUCUUCGGGGAGUGUUAUAGCCCACCGUGUAAUACCCUGGGGGGGACUGAGGUUCGCGCAUCUGCAAGGAUGCUGGCGUAAUGGUCAUCAACGA